CCAAUAGUUAUCAAGGUCACUACUAUUGCCACCCGUAUGUAGCAACAGCACAUUGGCAGUUUUAUCAUGACGUCAUUUGUACUUGACGAGUUUGGAAGAUGACGGACGACGCGGGUUUCUUAAUGCUAACUGCGCGCGCCAGACUGAGGUUACUCAAGCUACCUCUGAGUGGGCCAAGCGCUGGCCAUUAGAGACUGUAGCGUGGCAGUGAUGCACUGGGCGUGGUUCUGAUUGAGUCAGGCUGCAUUACAGAAAGCUCCGCGGGCGAUGGGCGAGACGCGCAUCCCUCUGGGGAGGACGGAGAGAGGACGGCGAGGGAAGCAAGAGAGAUUAGUUCAUCCAUUGAAACAAACUUGACGGAAAUGGUGGACGCUCUCAUUAUUCAUUCUCUCCCUGUCAACAUGAGGUUCUGAGGAUUUUCAAAGGACUUUUCUUUUGGAGGGCAGAGUUUGGAGAAGGGCGGGGGGCUGGCGUUGUGCUGGACGCGUGUCAAACGGUCAAUCUAAAUCCAUGGAAACUAACAUGGAAACUAUCAAGCAAUUUACAGCCGUGCCAACCGGCCCUAUUGGAUUCCUUUAUCCCACCCCGCC
This is a long non-coding RNA of Esox lucius (northern pike), 590 nucleotides long. NCBI's taxonomy places the organism in Eukaryota, Metazoa, Chordata, Actinopteri, Esociformes, Esocidae. The record is from Ensembl.